This 520-nucleotide ribosomal RNA is filed under the name uncultured Glomus. RNAcentral describes it as "SSU rRNA". It matches the Rfam family "Eukaryotic small subunit ribosomal RNA", at positions 569 to 1092 of the family's 1831-position model. The record is from RNAcentral. Lineage: Eukaryota; Fungi; Glomeromycota; Glomeromycetes; Glomerales; Glomeraceae.
AGCAGUCGCGGUAAUUCCAGCUCCAAUAGCGUAUAUUAAAGUUGUUGCAGUUAAAAGGCUCGUAGUUGAAUUUCGGGGUCAGUAGGUCGGUCGUGCCACUGGUAUGAACUGGUUUUACUGAUUCCUCCUUCUUGAAGAACUGUAAUGCCAUUAAUUUGGUGUUGCAGGGAAUCAGGACUGUUACUUUGAAAAAUUAGAGUGUUUAAAGCAGGCUUUAGCUUGAAUACAUUAGCAUGGAAUAAUGAAAUAGGACGUUUGAUCCUAUUUUGUUGGUUUCUAGGAUUGACGUAAUGAUUAAUAGGGAUAGUUGGGGGCAUUAGUAUUCAAUUGUCAGAGGUGAAAUUCUUGGAUUUAUUGAAGACUAACUACUGCGAAAGCAUUUGCCAAGGAUGUUUUCAUUAAUCAAGAACGAAAGUUAGGGGAUCGAAGACGAUCAGAUACCGUCGUAGUCUUAACCAUAAACUAUGCCGACUAGGGAUCGGAUGAUGUUAAUUUUUAAUGACUCAUUCGGCGCCUUAAC